Molecule: ribosomal RNA, 252 nt
Filed under: uncultured bacterium
Lineage: Bacteria
Description: partial 16S ribosomal RNA
Rfam family: Bacterial small subunit ribosomal RNA
Source: RNAcentral
UACGAAGGGUGCAAGCGUUGUUCGGAUUUAUUGGGCGUAAAGCGGGUGCAGGCGGAUAAGAAAGUCAGAUGUGAAAUCUCGGGGCUCAACCUCGAAACUGCGUCUGAAACUCCUUGUCUAGAAUCUCAAAGAGGGAAGCGGAAUUUCGCAUGUAGGAGUAAAAUCCGUAGAGAUGCGAAGGAACACCAGAGGCGAAGGCGGCUUCCUGGUUGAGAAUUGACGCUGUAGCCGAAAGCGUGGGGAGCAAACAGG